GUAGGCUAGUGAUCAAGGUCUAGGCUAAGCUUUUCAUACAUUGUUACGUGGGGCUUUGCUAUCUAGACUGAUAAUAGGUCAGUGCGAGCAUAAUAGUAACAAUACAACAUGCUUGGGUUUGAGCUAUAUAACAUGUGGGUGCAGUUCGUAUAUAUGUAUACUUAAAGCUUAGCUGAGCAGUGUUUGCGUGAAGGUAGAGUGAGAUUGGAUAGGUG
This is a non-coding RNA of Pelobates cultripes (western spadefoot toad), 215 nucleotides long. Lineage: Eukaryota; Metazoa; Chordata; Amphibia; Anura; Pelobatidae. The record is from the annotation of a GenBank genome assembly.